Bos taurus (domestic cattle) is the source of this 1018-nucleotide long non-coding RNA. NCBI's taxonomy places the organism in Eukaryota, Metazoa, Chordata, Mammalia, Artiodactyla, Bovidae. The record is from Ensembl.
UUUUUUUUUUAUACUUUAGGUUACUUUAUUAAAAACUUACAUUUAGGUGUAUUGCUUCAAUUUCUUUGGUCUGGAUAGGUGAUCUCUCUCCCUUCAUCAUCCUAUCAAAGCCACCCCACCUAGCUCUUGGAAAGAACUCCCACUUGCUUUUCCAUGUCCUUGCCUUUCACGGACGGUCUCACCAUACUUGACUGUAACCAGCAACUCUAUCGUAAUUUUGGAAAACAUAGGGUUCAUAUUCUUCCUGCUCAAGGAUUAUUCUUAGUCUUUAAUGACAGCUAUAUUCUCAACUUAAUAAAAUGUCUGUCAGUUGUAACAGGCAAAGCCGAUAUUACACACCAGGCAAAAAACAGGCUACUCCCCACGGCUCGGUUUUACAUUUCGGACCCUCACAUAAUCAGUUUGCAAAUUCUUCUCCCUAUUCCAGUGAACACAAGCAGAGAAUCAGGCAGCUUAGAGUAGGCAAUUUACAAUUUAGGUUUUCUGGAACAAACUGUCAAUAUUUAUUUAAAAAAAAACAAAAACAAACAAACAAAACUUACUGUAUUGGGUUGGCCAAAAAGUCCGUGCGGGUUCUCUCAGCUUACAGGAAAACUGAGUGAACUUUCUGGCCAACCCAAUAUGAGUAAAAGUUAGGUGACCUUGCAAAUGAUACAGUUCCUAAAGUUAUGAGCCACAGAUGCUGGACUUCUGGAACAACAGUUAAACUUCGGCAUCACAUCACUUCCUGUAUUAUUUCUGUUCAUGAUGUCUGUUCCUCUGAUUUACCUGGAAUCAAUGACUCUAAGCGGACAACACAGGACCGAGAACAACUCCAGCCCCUCCAACAACGCGAGCUCACCACCCAGGUACCGGCCAACCGCACUGCCGCGGCAACGCCGAGGCCGCCCUCCUGAUUAUUUUAAAUCCACGGUUGGUUGAGUUCCCAGAUGCAGAACCCAUGAAUAUGGAGGAUUGGUUGUACAGAGGUCCCCUUGAGACUCAGUUUGCUGAAUUCCAUUCUUCUGGACAUAUUCCU